This 565-nucleotide ribosomal RNA is filed under the name uncultured bacterium. Its description in RNAcentral is "partial 16S ribosomal RNA". It matches the Rfam family "Bacterial small subunit ribosomal RNA", at positions 355 to 914 of the family's 1533-position model. The record is from RNAcentral.
CUAAGAAUAUUCCGCAAUGGACGGAAGUCUGACGGAGCGACGCCGCGUGGAUGACGAAGGCCGAAAGGUUGUAAAGUUCUUUUGCUGGGGAAGAAUAACCGCAGGAGGGAAUGCCUGUGGGAUGACAAGAACCGGCGAAUAAGCCCCGGCCAACUACGUGCCAGCAGCCGCGGUAACACGUAGGGGGGCGAGCGUUGCUCGGAAUUACUGGGCGUAAAGGGCAUGUAGGCGGCUUGGAAAGCCUGGCGUGAAAGUCUGCACUUAACUGCAGGGGUGCNCUGGGAACUGCUGAGCUUGAGUGACGGAGAGGGAGCUGGAAUUCCUGGUGUAGGGGUGAAAUCUGUAGAUAUCAGGAAGAACACCGAUGGCGAAGGCAAGCUCCUGGCCGAUGACUGACGCUGAGGUGCGAAAGUGUGGGGCAUCAAACAGGAUUAGAUACCCUGGUAGUCCACACAGUCAACGAUGUGCACUAGGUGCUGGGGCGGUAGCUUCGGUGCCGGAGCGAACGUGGUGAAGUGCACCGCCUGGGGAGUAUGCUCGCAAGGGUGAAACUCAAUGAAUUGAC